AGCGAACGCUGGCGGCAGGCUUAACACAUGCAAGUCGAACGAAGCCUUCGGGCUUAGUGGCGGACGGGUGAGUAACACGUGGGAACGUACCUUUUGGUUCGGAACAACACAGGGAAACUUGUGCUAAUACCGAAUGAGCCCUUAGGGGGAAAGAUUUAUCGCCAUUAGAGCGGCCCGCGUUGGAUUAGCUAGUAGGUGGGUAAAGGCCCACCAAGGCUACGAUCCAUAGCUGGUCUGAGAGGAUGAUCAGCCACACUGGGACUGAGACUCGGCCCAGACUCCUACGGGAGGCAGCAGUGGGGAAUCUUGCGCAAUGGGCGAGAGCCUGACGCAGCCAUGCCACGUGAAUGAUGAAGGUCUUAGGAUUGUAAAAUUCUUUUACCAGGGACGAUAAUGACGGUACCUGGAGAAAAAGCUCCGGCUAACUUCGUGCCAGCCGCCGCAGUAA
Molecule: ribosomal RNA, 448 nt
Filed under: uncultured bacterium
Lineage: Bacteria
Description: partial 16S ribosomal RNA
Rfam family: Bacterial small subunit ribosomal RNA
Source: RNAcentral